UACGUAGGGUGCGAGCGUUGUCCGGAAUUAUUGGGCGUAAAGAGCUCGUAGGCGGUUUUGUUGCGUCGGCUGUGAAAUCCCGAGGCUCAACCUCGGGUCUGCAGUCGAUACGAGCAAACUAGAGUGUUGCAGGGGAGACUGGAAUUCCUGGUGUAGCGGUGGAAUGCGCAGAUAUCAGGAGGAACACCGGUGGCGAAGGCGGGUCUCUGGGCAGUAACUGACGCUGAGGAGCGAAAGCGUGGGGAGCGAACAGG
This 254-nucleotide ribosomal RNA is filed under the name uncultured bacterium. RNAcentral's name for it is "partial 16S ribosomal RNA". It matches the Rfam family "Bacterial small subunit ribosomal RNA", at positions 524 to 776 of the family's 1533-position model. The record is from RNAcentral.